AGGACGAACGCUGGCGGCGUGCCUAAUACAUGCAAGUCGAACGAGACUUUCAUUGGUGGUAACACCUUUGUCUGUCUAGUGGCGAACGGGUGAGUAACACGUGAGAAACCUGCCCUGAAGACGGGGAUAACAGAAGGAAACUUCUGCUAAUACCCGAUACCCCCACCGGAUCACAUGGUCUGAUGAGGAAAUGGAUUCCGCUUCAGGAGGGUCUCGCGGCCUAUCAGCUUGUUGGUGGGUAAUGGCCCACCAAGGCUUGGACGGGUAGCGUGGUCUGAGAGGACGAUCAGCCACACGUGGACUGAGACCGACCGGACCCAGACCUCCCUACGGGAGGCAGACAAGUAAGGAAUAGUU
Molecule: ribosomal RNA, 357 nt
Filed under: uncultured soil bacterium
Lineage: Bacteria
Description: bacterial SSU rRNA
Rfam family: Bacterial small subunit ribosomal RNA
Source: RNAcentral